Molecule: ribosomal RNA, 554 nt
Filed under: uncultured bacterium
Lineage: Bacteria
Description: partial 16S ribosomal RNA
Rfam family: Bacterial small subunit ribosomal RNA
Source: RNAcentral
UAGGGAAUCUUCCACAAUGGACGCAAGUCUGAUGGAGCAACGCCGCGCGAGUGAAGAAGGUCUUCGGAUCGUAAAGCUCUGUUGUUGGUGAAGAAGGAUAGAGGCAGUAACUGGUCUUUAUUUGACGGUAAUCAACCAGAAAGUCACGGCUAACUACGUGCCAGCAGCCGCGGUAAUACGUAGGUGGCAAGCGUUGUCCGGAUUUAUUGGGCGUAAAGCGAGCGCAGGCGGAAUGAUAAGUCUGAUGUGAAAGCCCACGGCUCAACCGUGGAACUGCAUCGGAAACUGUCAUUCUUGAGUGCAGAAGAGGAGAGUGGAACUCCAUGUAUAGCGGUGGAAUGCGUAGAUAUAUGGAAGAACACCAGUGGCGAAGGCGGCUCUCUGGUCUGCAACUGACGCUGAGGCUCGAAAGCAUGGGUAGCGAACAGGAUUAGAUACCCUGGUAGUCCAUGCCGUAAACGAUGAGCGCUAGGUGUUGGGGACUUUCCGGUCCUCAGUGCCGCAGCAAACGCAUUAAGCGCUCCGCCUGGGGAGUACGACCGCAAGGUUGAAAC